UCCUACGGGAGGCAGCAGUGGGGAAUCUUGGACAAUGGGGGCAACCCUGAUCCAGCGAUGCCGCGUGGGUGAAGAAGGCCUUCGGGUUGUAAAGCCCUUUAGGCUGGGAAGAAGAAUAUGGGAUGAAUAAUCCUGUAUUUUGACGGUACCAGCAGAAUAAGCACCGGCAAACUCUGUGCCAGCAGCCGCGGUAAUACAGAGGGUGCAAGCGUUAAUCGGAUUUACUGGGCGUAAAGGGCGCGUAGGCGGUUGUGUGAGUGUGAUGUGAAAGCCCCGGGCUUAACCUGGGAAGUGCAUCGCAAACGACAUAACUGGAGUAGGUGAGAGGGUGGCGGAAUUUCCGGUGUAGCGGUGAAAUGCGUAGAGAUCGGAAGGAACGUCAAUGGCGAAGGCAGCCACCUGGCACCAUACUGACGCUGAGGCGCGAAAGCGUGGGGAGCGAACAGGAUUAGAUACCCCUGUAGUC
RNAcentral lists this ribosomal RNA (466 nucleotides) under uncultured Aquicella sp. RNAcentral describes it as "bacterial SSU rRNA". It matches the Rfam family "Bacterial small subunit ribosomal RNA", at positions 337 to 795 of the family's 1533-position model. Lineage: Bacteria; Pseudomonadati; Pseudomonadota; Gammaproteobacteria; Legionellales; Coxiellaceae. The record is from RNAcentral.